GGACUACCCGGGUUUCUAAUCCUGUUUGCUCCCCACGCUUUCGCACCUCAGCGUCAGUAUCGGGCCAGUGAGCCGCCUUCGCCACUGGUGUUCUUGCGAAUAUCUACGAAUUUCACCUCUACACUCGCAGUUCCACUCACCUCUCCCGAACUCGAGCUUUCCAGUAUCGAAGGCAGUUCUGGAGUUGAGCUCCAGGAUUUCACCCCCGACUUAGAAAGCCGCCUACGUGCGCUUUACGCCCAGUAAUUCCGAGCAACGCUAGCCCCCUUCGUAUUACCGCGGCUGCUGGCAC
Molecule: unclassified non-coding RNA, 292 nt
Filed under: uncultured fungus
Lineage: Eukaryota; Fungi
Description: sequence contains ITS1
Source: RNAcentral